GGUUAUGGCUCAGUGGUAAAGUGUUCACCUAACAUGCAUAAGGCACUGGGUUCGAUCCUCAGCACCA
This 67-nucleotide transfer RNA is filed under the name Marmota monax (woodchuck). RNAcentral's name for it is "tRNA.Val". The record is from RNAcentral. Lineage: Eukaryota; Metazoa; Chordata; Mammalia; Rodentia; Sciuridae.